UAAUACAUCGGAACGUGUCCCGUAGUGGGGGAUAGCCCGGCGAAAGCCGGAUUAAUACCGCAUAUGCUCUACGGAGGAAAGUGGGGGAUCGCAAGACCUCACGCUAUGGGAGCGGCCGAUGUCCGAUUAGCUAGUUGGUAGGGUAAUGGCCUACCAAGGCGACGAUCGGUAGCUGGUCUGAGAGGAUGAUCAGCCACACUGGGACUGAGACACGGCCCAG
RNAcentral lists this ribosomal RNA (220 nucleotides) under uncultured bacterium. RNAcentral's name for it is "partial 16S ribosomal RNA". It matches the Rfam family "Bacterial small subunit ribosomal RNA", at positions 111 to 334 of the family's 1533-position model. The record is from RNAcentral.